Molecule: transfer RNA, 76 nt
Filed under: Planctomycetota bacterium
Lineage: Bacteria; Pseudomonadati; Planctomycetota
Description: Planctomycetes bacterium (marine metagenome) tRNA-Gly
Rfam family: tRNA
About the family: Transfer RNA (tRNA) molecules are approximately 80 nucleotides in length.
Source: RNAcentral
GCGGGCGUAACUCAGUUGGUAGAGUAUCAGCUUCCCAAGCUGAAUGUCGCCAGUUCGAAUCUGGUCGCCCGCUCCA